GAUGAACGCUGGCGGCGUGCCUAAUACAUGCAAGUCGAACGGGGAGUAGCAAUACUCUUAGUGGCGAACGGGUGAGUAACGCGUUGGUACCUGCCCCGAAGCGGGGGAUAACGGACCGAAAGGUCCGCUAAUACCCCAUGUGCUCGGUAACGAGUAAAGGUGAAAACCACUUUGGGAGGGGCCUGCGUCCCAUCAGCUAGUUGGUAAGGUAACGGCUUGCCAAGGCGAUGACGGGUAGGGGACCUGAGAGGGUGGCCCCCCACAAUGGAACUGAAACACGGUCCAUACACCUACGGGUGGCAGCAGUAGGGAAUAUUGGUAAUGGGCGCAAGCCUGAACCAGCAACGCCGCGUGUGCGAUGACGGCCUUCGGGUUGUAAAGCACUUUUGACUGGGACGAGGAAGGACGGUACCGGUCGAAUCAGCCUCGGCUAACUACGUG
Molecule: ribosomal RNA, 441 nt
Filed under: uncultured bacterium
Lineage: Bacteria
Description: partial 16S ribosomal RNA
Rfam family: Bacterial small subunit ribosomal RNA
Source: RNAcentral